RNAcentral lists this long non-coding RNA (241 nucleotides) under Hordeum vulgare. RNAcentral describes it as "long non-coding RNA (HVUL_LNC005596)". Lineage: Eukaryota; Viridiplantae; Streptophyta; Magnoliopsida; Poales; Poaceae. The record is from RNAcentral.
GGUAGCCAACAGGGGGAUAGCCAUGCUGCUGAGGGGGGUAACCAUGCUAUUGUGGGGGUAGCCAUGCUGAGGAGGGUACCCCUGUUGCGGAGGGUAUCCAUGCUGCUGCGGGGGGUACCCGUGGCCACUAGAUGGGUACCCAUGACCAACACCAUGAGCACCGGCAACGCCGUGCAUGAUGUUGGAGAGGAGCCCCUUCUCCCCAUCACUGCCACCUGCUCCAGGUGCAGGAGGGUACGCC